This 891-nucleotide ribosomal RNA is filed under the name Escherichia coli. Its description in RNAcentral is "partial 23S ribosomal RNA". It matches the Rfam family "Bacterial large subunit ribosomal RNA", at positions 1 to 934 of the family's 2925-position model. RNAcentral also lists the same sequence under 1 other name. Lineage: Bacteria; Pseudomonadati; Pseudomonadota; Gammaproteobacteria; Enterobacterales; Enterobacteriaceae. The record is from RNAcentral.
GUUAAGCGACUAAGCGUACACGGUGGAUGCCCUGGCAGUCAGAGGCGAUGAAGGACGUGCUAAUCUGCGAUAAGCGUCGGUAAGGUGAUAUGAACCGUUAUAACCGGCGAUUUCCGAAUGGGGAAACCCAGUGUGAUUCGUCACACUAUCAUUAACUGAAUCCAUAGGUUAAUGAGGCGAACCGGGGGAACUGAAACAUCUAAGUACCCCGAGGAAAAGAAAUCAACCGAGAUUCCCCCAGUAGCGGCGAGCGAACGGGGAGCAGCCCAGAGCCUGAAUCAGUGUGUGUGUUAGUGGAAGCGUCUGGAAAGGCGCGCGAUACAGGGUGACAGCCCCGUACACAAAAAUGCACAUGCUGUGAGCUCGAUGAGUAGGGCGGGACACGUGGUAUCCUGUCUGAAUAUGGGGGGACCAUCCUCCAAGGCUAAAUACUCCUGACUGACCGAUAGUGAACCAGUACCGUGAGGGAAAGGCGAAAAGAACCCCGGCGAGGGGAGUGAAAAAGAACCUGAAACCGUGUACGUACAAGCAGUGGGAGCACGCUUAGGCGUGUGACUGCGUACCUUUUGUAUAAUGGGUCAGCGACUUAUAUUCUGUAGCAAGGUUAACCGAAUAGGGGAGCCGAAGGGAAACCGAGUCUUAACUGGGCGUUAAGUUGCAGGGUAUAGACCCGAAACCCGGUGAUCUAGCCAUGGGCAGGUUGAAGGUUGGGUAACACUAACUGGAGGACCGAACCGACUAAUGUUGAAAAAUUAGCGGAUGACUUGUGGCUGGGGGUGAAAGGCCAAUCAAACCGGGAGAUAGCUGGUUCUCCCCGAAAGCUAUUUAGGUAGCGCCUCGUGAAUUCAUCUCCGGGGGUAGAGCACUGUUUCGGCAAGGGGGUCAUCCCGA